This 269-nucleotide long non-coding RNA is filed under the name Setaria viridis. RNAcentral describes it as "long non-coding RNA (SVIR_LNC005556)". Lineage: Eukaryota; Viridiplantae; Streptophyta; Magnoliopsida; Poales; Poaceae. The record is from RNAcentral.
AAAUGGGUAUUUGAGAUCUGGUGGGGGAUUGUUAGAUAUAUGGGCUUGGCCCAUAUAAAUAAUUCUGAAUAAAUCUCAAAGGCCCAUUAGCGUAGGAGGGGGUGCACCAUCUAUUAGUCCCGUAUUGUUAAUAGAUGAGGGUGCAGGGGUUUUCCUCCCUAUAAAUACAGACCACCCCCCCUCAUGGAAAAGACGCAACAUAGACUACUAUACGGGAAGGCCCCUAAGUUUGGGUAUCCCUAAGGUGGUCUAUACGAUUUAGGUUUUUC